AUGAAGAGCUCAGAAACAUCUGCUGCAAUGCAUCCAGGAAGGGUGAUGGCCCCAGCUCCAGGACAAAAAAAGAGGAUCCUGGAAGCUGAUGAACCUUCCCAUGAUAGAGUCACAAGGCAAAAAGCAAAGAUGGCGACUGCGACGGACCAUCAGGAAAGUGUGCUGCGCAUGGACUCUGAGACCUUGGUGCAAAUGGGUGAUGAGUUGCCACCCAUGGAUGAAGAUGCAAUGACUACCAAGACUAGACUUAGAAAGGGCAAAUGGCUAGAGAGAAUCACCAAGUCGCUUGGUAGUGAGGUGCCUAUCCAAAUUGCCCCAGGGAUGAAGCGUCCAGAGAAGCCUCUGCUGGCAGCAAAGCUUGCUUCUGAGUGUGGACUCGUUGCAAGAAGCCAUCUUCCGGUUCUUCCUCACUUCAAGCUAUACAAAAAAAUGCUAGUCUAUUGGAGAACUACAUUGGAAAAGUUGUUGCAAAUUUUGAGAUUAACACGGACUCGGAGACCAUCAAGACCGCGUGCAAAGAUAUUCUGCAGAAAAAUUCAAAGAACAGACGCCAUCAGAUCAAGAAGAAGUAUUUUGACACCGUAG
Molecule: ribosomal RNA, 585 nt
Filed under: Triticum aestivum (bread wheat)
Lineage: Eukaryota; Viridiplantae; Streptophyta; Magnoliopsida; Poales; Poaceae
Description: partial small subunit ribosomal RNA
Source: RNAcentral